AAUUAGUCAGUAUACUUAUCACAGGGUAUCUUGGUGGUGGUGUAGCGUGAGUUUCUUUACAUUGCUGUAUGUCUACACAAGGUGUGCACAGGCGUGUGUUUGCAUACGUUUUGAGCGACUGCACGGCCACGACAACCUGCUAGUAUCAGCCAAGUGGCCUACAGUGACGUCACACAUUGAGAAAUGGAAGUGUGUGCAAGUACAUAAUGUGCAUUAAGGUUCCCCGUCCACCCACACAUUCAGGCAUGCACACCUAUCCCCUACAUGUUUUGACAGUUUCGGGCACAUUUUUUGCAGUGCUGUGUUGUCCGGCUGUUAUCGCGUAUCGCCCUCGGCGUCGCCAGGUGCACGCUCGACACCGCUCGCACAGCCGCCACGAACACACACCCACUCGCUCAGCCACGCAGAAAAGAAAAGCAAGGCCGGCCAGUAGUCUCGACGUGCUCAUUGCACAGCUGGGGAGGCGGAACAGGUUCCAGUUCCUGAUGCUGGCGAUGUUGGCGACCAACUACAUUCCCUUAGUGUUCAACCAUGUCAUCAUGGCCUUCUAUGGCACCUCCCCCACUCACCUUUGUCACAUCACGUCUGCUGCUGCACCAGACAACGACACAAUGCAGGGUCACAACGACAGCAGAAACAUCACAUACAACAAUAUGACGGUGCUGGCGGAAACGCCGGUUGGCACGUGCAGCUCGCGCCUCUUUCUGGCGUCAGGCGACAACGUCACAGUCACGUGUCAACAUGGGCGAGACAGGUGGGAGUACAUGGCCAUGUACGGAGAACACACCAUAGUGUCAGAGUGGGAUCUGGUUUGUGAGCGAAAGUCCCUCGGGAGCUUGGCCACCACUAUCUACUUCUGCGGCGUCAUGCUGGGCGGCAUCCUGUUUGGUCACGUGGCUGACCACGUGGGCAGAUUGCCCGUGAUGCUGGGCACGCUGUACACCUCAGUGGCUGUGGGGGUGGGGCUGGCCUUUGUACCCACCUACCCAAUCUUCGCCGUCCUCCGAUUCGUGCAAGGAGUGCUGAUGCAGGGCCUGCAGACGUCCACCUACAUUGCUGCCAUGGAGAUGUUUGUUCCACGCCAGCGGCCAGCUGUGGGGGCGACCAUGGAAUGCACUUGGGGCGCCGCUGUCAUGGUGCUGCCCGGUCUGGCCCGCCUGCUGCGCAACUGGCGCCACCUUCAGCUGGUCAUCAGCGUGCCCAGCGCCCUCGUCGUCUUCUACAUCUGCGUGCUGCCGGAGUCCCUGCGCUGGCUGGUCCUCAAUGGCCGCCUCGACAAGGCCGAAGCGCUGGCCCGGCAUGUGGCCAAGGUCAACAAGAUCCCCUUCCCCAAAGACGUCUGGCAGUUGGUGGAGAGGGAGGCUGCCACAGCAGCGGCAUCCCCCCGAAGCAGGUACAACAUUUGGCACCUGGUGCGCACACCUCACCUACGUCGGCGUUCACUCGUCCUCUUCUACCUUUGGCUGUCCAUCUCGACAGGUUACUAUGGCCUGACAUUUCAAGUCACAUCGCUGCCUGGCAACAUGUACCUGAAUUUCUUCAUCGGAGGACUAGUGGAGUUCAUAGCUUAUGCUGCCUCUGUGUUAAUCAUGAACAGAUUCGGACGAAAGCGUCCCCUGUUGGUCUAUUUUUUCUCAGCUGCUGCGUGCUGCAUCAGUGCCUCUGCCAUUCCACGCAGGACAACAAGUAGUGGUGUCAAACUAGAGGAUGUGUCUACUGCCCUUGCUAUCACUGGUCGCUUCUUUACCGCUGGCCUCUUCUCUGUCAUCUUCGUGUACACAACUGAGUUGUACCCAACAGUCAUAAGAAACAUCGGAAUGGGAACAUGUACAUUCUGGGCACGCCUUGGCGGAGUCAUUGCCCCCCAGAUUAACCAGCUGAUGCUGUUAUCAUCAGGGGACUGGGUCAGAGGUCAAGGUGCCUGUCAUGUUCUUUGGCUGCAUGGUGCUUGUUGGUGGUGGACUGCUCCUUCUCCUACCUGACACUCACAAUCAACAGCUUCCAGACACUGUCCAGGAUGUUGAGAACAGCCACUACAAUGAAACCUUGCACAAACAGACCAGCAGUUCCAGAUUCAACGAACCAAGCAUGAGCUCAGAACCACAGGAGAGUGACAUGGACACACAUUCCAUUCAGCAAGAGAAUAUUACAACAAAACUGUAAUGCAUUUUCCAUUGAC
This 2179-nucleotide unclassified non-coding RNA is filed under the name Pomacea canaliculata. RNAcentral's name for it is "solute carrier family 22 member 13-like, transcript variant X1". Lineage: Eukaryota; Metazoa; Mollusca; Gastropoda; Architaenioglossa; Ampullariidae. The record is from RNAcentral.